Neurospora crassa OR74A is the source of this 997-nucleotide non-coding RNA. The record is from RefSeq and is a predicted model, not a curated record. NCBI's taxonomy places the organism in Eukaryota, Fungi, Ascomycota, Sordariomycetes, Sordariales, Sordariaceae.
GUGGUGACAAAGUGUCGAUAUCCUGCCAAUGGGUCAAGACAAUUCGCAUCCUCCGUGAACAUUUCGGUACAUAGACGUAUGCUUCCUCUGUCCUGAACCAGGCAUCUUUGUCCAUAUACAACACCAACCUCAUAGCCUCAAUGCCUCGUAUGAUCCUCAUGACGGAGGCAAAGCUUGCGAAGUCUGAACGAGCCAUUGCCCAAACAGUCCAAUUCGACCCAAGAUACGGAGUCGUGGAAGUUUCCGAAGAAUGUUCCAUCAAUGGGCUCCAAUGGCCCUCCCUCCCCAGUUUCUCUUGGACUACUUCUUGCAGCUCGACAGAGCCCAAAACAAGGGGAAAGAGGCGAAAGUGGUUCGAGAAGGUAGGAGCCAAGGCAGAGCAGUGGAGGAGGCCAUCUGGCAUCUGAGAUUCUGACCAGCACCACUGGCGUGCCUGGCGCCUAUUCUAGGGUCCGAACAUGGUCAACGGGGAAGCUGGACCAUUUGAUGCAAGUAAUCAGGGGGUAGUGUCAUGCCGGGCAGAUGACAGAAGCACAGCAUAACAUGCCUGCCUGGGGAAGACGUGGGUUGAGAUUGAGGCUAUCCGAAUGCGAGCAUGGCCAUCGGAUGGCAGUCUGUCUCGAGAUGUGUCCUGCAGGGGAGGUGACGACAGCGGACGGAACUAGACUGGCCUGAUUCAUUACUGAAUGACGCACAGGCCACUUGACGUGUAAAUCGUCGUUCGUUGUCGUUGAAUGUCGACAUCAGAAGUACAUACGUACAAUAUCAAAUACGGGGUGAGAGGGUGGGCAGCUUGAAGCCCAAGCUUUCUUAGGUCUUUCCGAGGAUACCGCGGCGGAACCAAAAUAACCAAGAGACAACAAGACCGAGCAGCUGGUGCGUGCGUGGAUAUUGACUUGUCAAGGUUGUGUCGAAGAUAGGGAUUUCUUUGUCAGCAGAAAUCCAGGCAUCUUGAAUUACCCGAGAAUAUGUCCAAAAAGGAGAUGAUGACAGCUGU